Raphanus sativus (radish) is the source of this 816-nucleotide long non-coding RNA. RefSeq lists it as uncharacterized. The record is from RefSeq and is a predicted model, not a curated record. The transcript is spliced from 3 exons. Lineage: Eukaryota; Viridiplantae; Streptophyta; Magnoliopsida; Brassicales; Brassicaceae.
GUUGCGUUUCGGAUUAGGUUUAUUGAGUCUCCAUCUCUCGCGUCUCCAGAAGCGUUCUUCCAUGGAGAGAUCUUUCGUCUUCUUCGUCCGGUGGUAACCGAUUCCCCAAUCACAGACGAUCCCCAUUCAAUGCAACUGUGGGGAGUUCAACGCGGUGGAAGCUCUGCUAUAAAAAGGCGGCCACUAUCAGUGUCAACCGUCUGGAGACCCACCGGUGUAACAGAGUUUGAACGUUAUAUGAUCGCCAAAUUGCUCAGAGCUUGAGCAACUCUCACUUUCAGGUAGCGGAACGGGCUCUAUACUCAUGGAACAAGGAUCAUGUUAGUGACUUGGUGAGACAUAACAGCAGAAUCAUUCUACCGAUAGCGUUUCCACUGUCCAGCAUUGGAGAAGAAACGGUAGUAGCCAUUGGAACCAGGCUGUGAAGAACUUGACGGAGAUUGUGCUCAAGGUUUUGUAUGAUACAAAUCCAGAGUUUUUUGAAGAAUGUUUGUGCAAGUUUCAAAAGGAUCAGCUAAAUGCAGAAGAUAACAAGAAGAAGAAUGGAGAAACAUGGAGACAGCUAGAGGAGAUUGUUGCUUCAAUGGCGAAGUAAAGAGUUUUUAUAUACUGCACUUUUCAAGCUAUACAAAAGAAAAGAAGAAAAUUGGUUUAUGUUUUUGUUUUUCUUACGCCUGAAUGAUAUAUACAGUUUUACUUUUUGCUUUGCUUGGUUCAAGUCUAUUGUUUGUUCUCUUUCAGUUCUUGAUUUUGUGUGUCUGUAUUAUACUUCUCUGUUCAUGUAAACCAUCUUCGUAAGAAAACAAUAGUUCUCUA